AAAGGAAAGAUUUAUUUUAUUUAUUUUAAAGAAAAUAUUUUUUAUUUUUAGUAUUAAUUUAGAAUAGAAUUAGUUAAUGAUAAUUAAUUUGUAUAGUGGUAGAUUAUUGAGAGAUUAAGUUUAUUUUUGAAAAAGAAGAAUUAAGGUUCGUACCUUGUGUCUCAGGGUUUAUUAAAAAUUUGGUUUGAAUAUACUAUUCUCGAAUUAAAAAGGGCUAUUAGUUUAUAUAUAUAGUUGUUAUAUAAAUUUUUAUAAUAAAUUAAUUGUAAUGAAACGUUAUUCGUUUUUUAAGAUAUCUAGUUUUUUAAGAAAUAAAUUUAAUUUAUUUUAUUAAAUGUAAAGUUUUAAUUAAGAAGAUUUUUAUUUUAAUAAUUAAAAGUUAAGAGGGAUAAGCUUUUUAACUAAUUUUUAAAAGUAAUAUAAAUAUUAAAUAUAAAUAGAAUUAGAAGUGUUUAUUUUCAUAUGUUAUAAUUAUUAUUUUAAUUUUUAUAUAAUUUAUAUAAGUUUUAAUUUUUUUAUUAAAAUUAUAAUUUUAAUUUAAUAUUUUAUGAAAUUAUGAUAGAAUUAGUAUAAAAUUAACUUUAAUGUUAAAAUUGAUAAUUAAUGUUAGGUUAAGGAAUUCGGCAAAUAAAUUUUUCGCCUGUUUAAUAAAAACAUGUCUUUUUGAUUAUAAUUUAAAGUCUAAUCUGCCCUAUGAGGAUUUAAAUGGCCGCGGUAUUUUGACCGUGCAAAGGUAGCAUAAUAAUUAGUUUUUUAAUUGAAAGCUGGAAUGAAUGAUUGAACGAGAAAAUAGCUGUCUCAAUUUAAUUUUAUUAGAAUUUUAUUUUUAAGUAAAAAAGCUUAGAUAGAUUUAAAAGACGAGAAGACCCUAUAGAGUUUAAUAAUUAGUUAGUUAUUAAUUUUUUAGUAUUAUUUYAUUAUUAAUAAAUUAAUUAUUUUAUUGGGGUGAUAGAAAAAUAUAUUUAACUUUUUUUUUAUUGUUACAUUAAUUUAUGAUUUUUUGAUCCAUUAUUUAUGAUUAUAAGAUUAAGUUACCUUAGGGAUAACAGCGUAAUUUUUUUUUAGAGUUCUUAUCGAAAAGAAAGAUUGCGACCUCGAUGUUGGAUUAAAAUUAAUAUAGGGCGUAGAAGCUUUAUUAUUAGGUCUGUUCGACCUUUAAAAUUUUACAUGAUCUGAGUUUAAACCGGCGUGAGCCAGGUUGGUUUCUAUCUUUAAUUAAUUAAAAUAUUUUAGUACGAAAGGACCAGGUAUUUAUAAUAAUUAUUUAUUUUUGAAUUAUAUUAG
This 1284-nucleotide ribosomal RNA is filed under the name Serica brunnea. Its description in RNAcentral is "16S ribosomal RNA". Lineage: Eukaryota; Metazoa; Arthropoda; Insecta; Coleoptera; Scarabaeidae. The record is from RNAcentral.